This 75-nucleotide transfer RNA is filed under the name Candidatus Woesearchaeota archaeon CG10_big_fil_rev_8_21_14_0_10_44_13. RNAcentral describes it as "tRNA-Ile". It matches the Rfam family "tRNA". From Rfam's summary of the family: Transfer RNA (tRNA) molecules are approximately 80 nucleotides in length. Their secondary structure includes four short double-helical elements and three loops (D, anti-codon, and T loops). Further hydrogen bonds mediate the characteristic L-shaped molecular structure. tRNAs have two regions of fundamental functional importance: the anti-codon, which is responsible for specific mRNA codon recognition, and the 3' end, to which the tRNAs corresponding amino acid is attached (by aminoacyl-tRNA synthetases). tRNAs cope with the degeneracy of the genetic code in two manners: having more than one tRNA (with a specific anti-codon) for a particular amino acid; and 'wobble' base-pairing, i.e. permitting non-standard base-pairing at the 3rd anti-codon position. The record is from RNAcentral. Lineage: Archaea; Nanobdellati; Candidatus Woesearchaeota.
GGCUCCGUAGCUUAGCCUGGCUGGAGCAUACGACUGAUAAUCGUAAGGUCCCGAGUUCGAAUCUCGGCGGAGCCA